RNAcentral lists this ribosomal RNA (293 nucleotides) under uncultured bacterium. RNAcentral describes it as "partial 16S ribosomal RNA". It matches the Rfam family "Bacterial small subunit ribosomal RNA", at positions 505 to 796 of the family's 1533-position model. The record is from RNAcentral.
GUGCCAGCAGCCGCGGUAAGACGAACCGUGCGAACGUUAUUCGGAAUCACUGGGCUUAAAGCGCGUGUAGGCGGGCCGGCACGUCGAUGGUUGAAAUCCCCCAGCUCAACUGGGGAACAGGCCUCGAUACGACCGGCCUCGAGGGGGGUAGGGGGAGCCGGAACUUCCGGUGGAGCGGUGAAAUGCGUUGAGAUCGGAAGGAACGCCCGUGGCGAAAGCGGGCUCCUGGACCCCACCUGACGCUGAGACGCGAAAGCCAGGGGAGCGAACGGGAUUAGAUACCCCGGUAGUCC